GGCGGUGUAGCUCAGCGGUUAGAGCACUCGGCUCAUACCCGGGGUGUCGCUGGUUCAAUUCCAGCCACCGCUACCA
Molecule: transfer RNA, 76 nt
Filed under: Clostridia bacterium
Lineage: Bacteria; Bacillati; Bacillota; Clostridia
Description: tRNA-Met
Rfam family: tRNA
About the family: Transfer RNA (tRNA) molecules are approximately 80 nucleotides in length. Their secondary structure includes four short double-helical elements and three loops (D, anti-codon, and T loops). Further hydrogen bonds mediate the characteristic L-shaped molecular structure. tRNAs have two regions of fundamental functional importance: the anti-codon, which is responsible for specific mRNA codon recognition, and the 3' end, to which the tRNAs corresponding amino acid is attached (by aminoacyl-tRNA synthetases). tRNAs cope with the degeneracy of the genetic code in two manners: having more than one tRNA (with a specific anti-codon) for a particular amino acid; and 'wobble' base-pairing, i.e. permitting non-standard base-pairing at the 3rd anti-codon position.
Source: RNAcentral